CCCUUAGAUGUCCUGGGCCGCACGCGCGCUACACUGAUGCAUUCAACGAGUAUUUCCUUGGCCGAGAGGCCUGGGCAAUCUUUUAAACCUGCAUCGUGAUAGGGAUAGAUUAUUGCAAUUAUUAAUCUUGAACGAGGAAUUCCUAGUAAACGCAAAUCAUCAAUUUGCAUUGAUUACGUCCCUGCCCUUUGUACACACCGCCCGUCGCACCUACCGAUUGAAUGGUCCGGUGAAAUCUCGGGAUUGUGGCCGGUUCACUUUAUUGGGAGUUGGCUGCGAGAACUUGCUUAAACCUUAUCAUUUAGAGGAAGGUGAAGUCGUAACA
Molecule: ribosomal RNA, 325 nt
Filed under: uncultured eukaryote
Lineage: Eukaryota
Description: partial 18S ribosomal RNA
Rfam family: Eukaryotic small subunit ribosomal RNA
Source: RNAcentral